CUAACCCCCUGGGCAGGACCUAUUAUGGGGUUAGUAGAAUGAAUAAAGGAGGCACAGAAGCUGAGGCAGGGAGAUGCUUGGGUACAUUCUCAUGUAACGCCUGGGCAUAAUCAGCAACAGGAGUCACAGCAUGCAUCAGCUAGCCAUCUCACCUUUAGCCAACUAUUAUUUUCUCCUCUUUAAACUAACACUGAUGGAUUACCUUAGGGAAAAAAUGGAUUAAUGGAUUAAUUUCUCUUAGUUUUCUAAGGCUACAGGAAAAAAUAAUUGACCUCAUUCUGCUAACUGUGAAUGGGAGAAUGAAAUUCAUGCGCUUUUUCUUUUCUUUUUUUUUUUCCUCUGGCAGGAUGAGUUCUAAUGAUUCAUGUCCAUGGCAAUUGAAUUUCUUGGAGAAAAGCAUCUUGAAAUUUGAAGUUACAGUCUUGGCUUUUAAAACUCUGACUAUAAAACCUUUCUCUGAGUGGAAAAUAGGCUAAAUCAUGUUUUCUUGUCUUUUUCCUCUCACCUAUUCUGUUCCUUGAGCUUCUGAUUCACGACUAUGCACCAAGGACAUUGCGGAUGUGGGAGUGAAAUGAUUCUACAAUAUUUAGCUCUACAGAGAGAGGCAGACUUGGCUCUGAAGAGGCUGCUAAUUGGCUAAUCUAAUUUCACCUCCUCCGAAGACCUCAGAUGCCAGGAGCGAUGCUUAACUCUUCCUACACUGUCUCUGAUGCAUUUUUGAGUGGUAGCAAAUCUGAUCUCAAAGAUUUUUCUGCUCGUUGGAUUCAUCAAGCCGCCUGGCUCUUUGCUGUCACUCCUGACAACCCCGCAGAUAAACCCCCAGGGCAGGCUUGCUGGCCUGGAGCUCCUUCCCUGGCUCUGACCUUGCGGCACAGAGAACUUCCAGGCUGAGGGUCCAGACACCACUGGGGAGAUCUGCAUCUGGGGUUCCAGGGCAUCAUGGUUCCUAUAUGGCACCAGUAGGUGAAAGACAAACGAGGGACAAAAUAAAUUUGGGG
RNAcentral lists this long non-coding RNA (998 nucleotides) under Vulpes vulpes (red fox). RNAcentral describes it as "lncRNA (ENSVVUG00000022816.1)". Lineage: Eukaryota; Metazoa; Chordata; Mammalia; Carnivora; Canidae. The record is from RNAcentral.